AUUUAUUGUUUUUUAAAAAAUAAGUUAUUAAUAGUAUAUAGUGGUAUCGAUUGUUUAAUUAUUAUUAAAGCACCUUAGUAGCAACAUCUAUUCUUCUAUCUUAGACGUACAAUGGUAUCCCGUGAUAAAUGAAGUGCGUGAAGAUUUAAAAAUGACACUGUUGUGUUGAUUACUGUUUUAUCAUAUCAUUCACUGUUGCAAAGAACAUUUUGGACAAUGAUAAUUCAGAUAGUAUCCCCG
This is a long non-coding RNA of Gordionus sp. m RMFG-2023, 240 nucleotides long. RefSeq lists it as uncharacterized. The record is from RefSeq and is a predicted model, not a curated record. The transcript has 3 exons. NCBI's taxonomy places the organism in Eukaryota, Metazoa, Nematomorpha, Gordioida, Chordodea, Parachordodidae.